RNAcentral lists this transfer RNA (65 nucleotides) under Sialis sp. BMNH 1425199. Its description in RNAcentral is "tRNA-Phe". The record is from RNAcentral. Lineage: Eukaryota; Metazoa; Arthropoda; Insecta; Megaloptera; Sialidae.
AUUUAAAUAGCUUAAAAAUAAAGCAUAGUAUUGAAGAUACUAAGAUGAUUUUAAAUCUUUAGAUA